Molecule: ribosomal RNA, 496 nt
Filed under: uncultured bacterium
Lineage: Bacteria
Description: partial 16S ribosomal RNA
Rfam family: Bacterial small subunit ribosomal RNA
Source: RNAcentral
AUGAACGCUGGCCGCGUGCCUAAUACAUGCCAGUCGAGCGAACAGACGAGGAGUUUGCUCUGCUUUCGUUAGCGGCGGACGGGUGAGUACCACGUGGAUAGCCUACCUAUAAGACUUGAAUAACUUCGAGGAACCGUAGUUAAUCCCGGAUAAUAUAUUGAACCGCGUGGUUCAAUAGUGAAAGACGGUUUUGCUGUCACUUAUAUCUGAAUCCGCGCCGCAUUAGCUAGUUGGUAAGGUAACGGCUUACCAAGGCCACGAUGCGUAGCCGACCUGAGAGGGUGAUCGGCCACACUGGAACUGAGACACGGUCCAGACUCCUACGGGAGGCAGCAGUAGGGAAUCUUCCGCAAUGGGCGAAAGCCUGACGGAGCAACGCCGCGUGAGUGAUGAAGGUCUUCGGAUCGUAAAACUCUGUUAUUAGGGAAGAACAAAUGUGUAAGUAACUAUGCACGUCUUGACGGUACCUAAUCAGAAAGCAACGGCUAACUACGUG